GACGAACGCUGGCGGCGUGCCUAAUACAUGCAAGUCGAGCGAAGAGGGGACGGGUGAGUAACACGUGGAUAACCUCCUAUAAGACUGGGAUAACUUCGGGAAAACAGAGCUAAAACGGGUACUUCUAGAUUGUACCACGCUGCAUUAGCUAGUUGGUAAGGUAACGGCUUACAAAGGCAACGAUGCGUCGCCGACCUGAGAGGGUGAUCGGCCACACUGGAAGUGAGACACGGUCCAGACUCCUACGGUAGGCAGCAGUAGGGAAUCUUCCGCAAUGGGCGAAAGCCUGACGGAGCAACGCCGCGUGAGUGAUGAAGGUCUUCGGGUCGUAAAACUCUGUUAUCAGGGAAGCGGUACCUAAUCAGAAAGCCCCGGCUAACUACGUGCCAGCAGCCGCGGUAAUUC
This 405-nucleotide ribosomal RNA is filed under the name uncultured bacterium. RNAcentral describes it as "partial 16S ribosomal RNA". It matches the Rfam family "Bacterial small subunit ribosomal RNA", at positions 28 to 526 of the family's 1533-position model. The record is from RNAcentral.